AAAUACUGAUUAAAACAUUUUCAAAUGAUUUAUUCCCAUCGGUAAAUACAUGCAGGAACUUGAAAAGACAACCGCAGAAGUAACCUCCGAAGUAACGCCAGAAGAGUCGAAACAAAAACUGAGCAGCCCGCCUUCGGAUACUGGAACGUACUUGAGCGUCCAAGGGUUCGAAAAAAGAUGGCUCGACAUAAUAAUGUUCAAGGCGGCAAAAAAGAAAAUGUUCAAGAAAAUGUACUUCAUGUUUUCAGUGCAAUGCUUGUUCUACUUAGUCCUAGCCCUUUUGUCUUAUUUGGUCGAAGAGGUGAAAGAGUUUUACGUUAGGAUGUCACCGUUCCUCGUGAUUCUCUUCCUGUCGACAAUAUUCAUACUCAUGCUUUUCUCGCUCAGCUCAAAACUAAGGAAGGUGUACCCUUUGAACCUUCUUGCCAUUUUGGUCAUCACCACCCUCCUCUGUUUCUGCAACACGAUCAUUUUUGUCGUGUCAGAGCUUUACGAAGGGGCCAUCAUGUUGAUAGUCCCUUUGCUUGUAUCCCUCACGAUCAUAAUCACGACCUGCAUUACCCCGUUCGACAUUCACAACCGGUUUAUGAUUUGCCUUAUGACGUUGCUGGUGCUAAUCAUCAACGCAGGUAUGGCCACAGCGUUGUACUUCAGCUCCGACUACCGACUAUCGACCCUCAUUAUGAUCAGCAGCUGCCUGACGGUGGGCUCCUAUUAUUUCCUCUACGGCAGCCUCUACGCACUCAGGUACAAGUUUGACGGCGUUCACGUAAGCGAGUGGAUAGUACCUGCAAUGCUUUUCUACACCGGCGGACUCCUCCUGCUCUACCACAAACUAUACCAGCUUUUGUGCAUUAUCUGCAGAAUAGACGACAAUUGGUAUUAUUAAUCUAAUAUGAAUUUAUAAAUCAUUAAAAAAUGGAAUAACGAGUAAUUAAAUUGCUUUUACGACACAUGUUUUUUGCUUCCGAACAACCGAAGGUAGGGAAGCCUUAUAUUCAUGCAGGAAGUGGACACAAUUUUUAUCCUCCAAAAUCAAAAUUUCCACUAGCAUUUUGUAACCGGAAAAACUCCAAAACCAUGAGACCAAUUGUUAUAAAAUUUUCGGAGAUUGAACGGGUUGGUUUUUAGAUGACCCCGUAUAAAUUUCAUCCUAAUUUGAUCAACAGCCUGUACAUGCGCGAACGUAAAAUCCUGUACACAGUUUUGUUUCCAAAAGCAUUAAACGGAUUUUGAUGAAAUUAGCAGGGAUUAUGCGAGUUGGUUUCCAGAUUGUCCUGUAUGAAUUUUAUACCAAUCUGAUUAACCUUGCUUUGACCAUACACAAACGUAAAAUCACGUACACAUCUAUAUCUACAAAAGCAUUGGUCGGAUUUUAUGAAAUUUUCAAGGAUUAUGGGGGUGCUAUCUAAGAUGAUCCCUGAUUAAUUUUAUACCAAUCGGAUUAACAUAUGAGAUUUCGCAUGCGCAAUCGUUAAAGUUCACAGCUUUAUCUCUGAAACCAUACACGGAUUUUGAUGACAUUUGCAGGGAUUAUGCGAGUUGGUUUCCGGAUAGUCCCCUAUGAAUUUCAUCGCAAUCGUAUCAAUUGUAACACCUGCGCAUGCUCAAACGUACAAUCCGUACAUAACUAGUCUGGGCAACCUGCUGGAGUUCCCAACAUACACCAUUUUUACGGAUGGUAGUAAGAUAGGUGAAUCUGUGAGUUGCUCUGCUGAGGUAUACCACGAAAACGGAAAUGCCAUAUGCACGCUAAGUACCGUUUGGCAGCGUGGUUCAAACAACCAGGCAUUAAUUCUGGCGUUCAUGCAUGCAACAAAAUGGUUCUUAGAGACUCAGAAAAACCAUCUGGUUCCAGCUACGAACUCUGCUUUGAUAGACACAAAUAAUGCGGUAACAUUGGACAUGCACAUGGAGACGUGGAGAAAAUUCGUGCAACGCUUAGGAAAUGUCCGGCUGAAUUGGGAUGGCAGGUCGGAAUGCUGUAUUAAAGCACACGCUGGAAACGAUGACAACGUAAUGGCAGAUAGGAUGGCAAAGGAUGAAAUCUUGCCAAUUAUCUACUCCCGGGUACCAAUAACCUAUGUGAAAUUUUGGGCUAAUCGGAAGUCGGGAAAAUGAGUGGGGGAGGUGACAAAAGGAAUCCAAAUUUGUCUACUGAUACAUGACAUCUUAGACUUGGUUGUAAGUUCAAAGGAGAGAACAGGGCAAAAUCUAAAGUUCGAGGUGAAGUAAAAACUUCUCGUUCUGGUCCUCUAAUGCAAGCUGUUAGCAUUUUUAUGUCAAUCUUCAACUGAAUAACACGUCUAACAACACGAGGAAAAGUACAUUGGGAAAAUUCCAACUUCACCAGAUUUAAUUCACCGAGCCCAUAUGAGGAUUUUUUCAACUAGAAUAUUUUAUAUAUUUUCUUUAACUUUUAAGAUAUUGCAUAUGGUGUUUUAACUUAGUUUUAUUUUGUUUUACAAUCAAAUCAGCUUUCAAUUUAUUACCACCAGUAAUGCAGUUGUCAUCGAAGGAAGAACGCAAUUCAAUAAUGAGGCGACGGUCGAGAAAGCUAUUUUUGAAGGCGUACAUCAUCCACUCCUUGCAGAACAUGUUUUGGACAAGUCUCAGCUUGUUUUUCAUCCUUCAGAAAGACGUCAUGAAAACUUUCCGUAUUUAUUACUGGUUGGCGUUGAUCUCCCUGGGAUUUUUCAUCACCGCCACGUUAUUGCUUGCCUGCUCGUAUAAGUACAGGCAGAUGUUCCCUUUGAACAUGUUCAUCCUCAUCAUAUUAACGAUGGCCCUCGGGUUUUGUUUUGCCAUCUUGUUUACGCUGAUCAACGAGGUCUGGGUCGUGAUAUACUUUUUGACUGCCCUGUCUGCAGCACCGAUCAUCAUCACAAUCGCCUUCCCUUUCUUCUCUUUCAACCUACAGAAGGAUAACAUCUACUACUUGUUUGUCACCGUGACCGUAUUAUUCCACAUUAUCGGAAUUACUGUAAUGGCCACACUGACUGGAGUUAAAUGGCCGUACUUCGCCAAUGCCAUAGUAGUCAACAUAUCCAUGUCACUCUACUCCUUCUCUGUUAUUAAAAUGGCAGCUGCUGGUAAUAUUGAGCCCAUCGGGCAGUCCGGCGUCGUCCAUUUGAUUCUGCUCCUAUUCAUAAUUCAUUGGCUGAUGUUUUCCUUCCGGUGCCAAGUGUUGGCUAACUUCUGCAAACCCAAAUAGGAAUAAAACAAAAUAUAUCGUCAAAAAAAAAUCCAGCGUUAAUUUUUGUAUUUCAGCCUGUUAGAAAAUAAGAAAAAGUUAAAUUAAAGACUAACCCAAAAACACGUGAUACAUUCACAAAUUGCCAUCAUAAUAAAACAUAACAUAAAGACUUCGCAACUGUGAAUUGACCUUUAAGUAGAGAGUCAAAAAUAAGUCUUUUUAUGAAGUACUCAUGUCGCCAUUAUAUAUUUACUUUUAACUGGGGUCUUCACUGUUCGAACUAACUUAUUUCUUUUAAGCAUUCUCAGACUUUUUUUCCAGGGCGUACGUUCAAGUAGUAGAAAGCGGCGUUGGCUAGUGUGAUCACCGUCCUUUGAUAGGUCAAUGACUGGCAAAGCUGCAGAUUGACGUCAAGAGUUAGGAGCUGGGUACUUACUUCACACUAGUCUCACAUAGAUUUUAAAUCGUCUAUACACGGUUGAAUAUAUAGUAAUCCAUUCAGAGCUUAUUCCAAGUUUUAAAUAGUAGAAAGCGGUAUUGAUUGGUAUGAUCGUCCGUAUUUGAUAGGUCAAAGGUUGGUAAAGUGAGCUGUAGGUUGACCUAGACAAGAUUUAGAUACUGAAUAUGACCAGUCUCCAAAUGGAUGUUAAAAACCGUCCAACAACAGCUGAAUAUCUGACAAAUCGUUCAGGGGGCUUAUUCCAAGUUCAAGGGUUGGAAAGCGGUAUUGACUGGUCUGAUUGUCCGUCUUCCUUUCAUAGAGCUUUAUCUCUUACCUUGCCUCAUACCUGGUGCCUUCCAGUGCUUGAGGUUUUCUUUCUCCAGCUCCAACUUUAGCACAAUCUCUCGGUGCCUGGUUGUCGUUCCAGACAUAUGGGUGAGAGGGCUGCCCCUUCUUUGGCUAGUUGGCUUCCUUCUGUACCCACCUCAAGGUAAUGUUGAGUUUUCCUAUGGGCAAUUUAGUUACUCCCGGGCUAGUCUGAUGAGUAAAGCAAACAUGUUUAAUGUUUUGAUAGCCAUCCGAUUGCCUGAAAGUAUGAAAAUAUGUACACCUAUUUCUUCUUUAUAUGAUCCUGUACAAUCCUUGGACCUCAACUUGUAAGAUAGUUCGAAUCAGUGUUGCUAGAGUGUAAUUUUGCCCCUUUACCCUUACACCCUGUUCUAUCUUGGAUACAUCAGUGUACCAUAUUAAGACCUUUCCUGGCACUUGGGGUUGCUUUCUUCCAAAGUUCAGGUACUGACAGGAAUAUAACCUCAUUUAUUUUAAUUGUUCUCAGAAUGUUGACAUUGCUUCUUCUUAGAUCUGGUUUUAUUUCUUUGUUCAUAUCUCCGUAGUUUGCUAGCACUCUCAAGAAAGCCACCCCUUAACAUGAAUGUGUAAAAGUGGGUGAUCGAGUGUUGUUUCCAUAGCUAUUACGGAACAAGUAUGAGCAGCAAUCACCGCUGCUAUGUUAAGAGUCUACUCUUUAUAUGUUUUACUAUCCUUAUCUAUCCUCACAUAGUGUGCUCCAUAUGUGACCUACCAUCCGUUAUAGUGUAUGACCAAUACAAUUGAUACAAUAGGGGUUGAUUCCACAGAUUCUGCUGCUGUAGAGCCUUAGCCUUAUGUAGUACGUUGCUUAUAUGACUUCUCCACAUAAGCCUUCGGUCAAGGGUUAUACCUAGGUGCUUAGUUUCUUUGGAGGUUAUGUCUUCAUAUUAAAGCGAGGUCUUUCAGAUUUAGCUGCAAACAAGUUUUUAGGGUUGAUAUGUAACACCCAUUUUCUAAGAAUAUCUUUCUACGAUGUUUAGUGCAGUUUACAUCUGUUUCGACAGUAUCAUCAAAUUUUCCAUUUUUGAUUGGCUAACAGGUCAUCUAUGUAUGAUGACCUGUUUUAAGCUUCAUGAUUAGGUGAUGUACUAAUAGCAUAGAAGUGACAUUAGUACCCCUUCUAGAUGCCAUAAAUUUUUAGGAUAGUGGUCAUAAAGAAAGGGCCUGAUCAGAAUGUGGGAGAUCCUUUUGUUCAAGAGUCUUUUUUCCAAUGUCUUUGAUUCUUGUAUCCUGGUGGAAAAUGACUUUGUUUUAUGUUCCUAAUGUGUUUAGCUUGGUUUUUCAAUUCAGAACUAUUUAAUUACAUCCAAAAUUCAUGUUUGCUUGGCUGUCUGACAUAUAUUUGUUUGCGUUCAGAUUACACUGCUUGAACUUCAACUUUACAUUGGUUUUAUUUUAAUUUCAUGUAUUUUUAAUAUCGUUCGUGUUUUGAUUUAAGCAAAAAUAAAUAUGUGGAUUUACAACGUCAUACUUGAAGAACUGUUCCUGCUGAAUGGUUAGAACAUUUAGUCUUGGCUUUUCUAGAGCAUGUACAACUUAUGUGUCAAAAAUGUUUUUUGAUUUAAAAAGAAAUACGUACGAAAUCAUCAUUAUUUGCAGCUUGCUUGUACAUUCUUCUGUGUACUUAAUUCUGUAGUUCAUGGCAUCCCCACUGUGUUCAGUUUAUUUAUGUUUGUUACCUUCUCGCUUCUCCUGCUUGUUCACUCAUCACUGAUCAAAAGAAAACAUGUCAUCAGAGGAAGAGGAUUAUAUGUCUGAAGCUCUUUUAAAGACUUGCAGACAUCAGGCCAGGCCUCAUACACAACCGGAGCGAAAAAAGGAGCCUGGAAGUAUCGAAGAAACGUCAGCUCGAGGAAGAGGCCAGGAGGAAGAAACCGUUGAGGGUCGUAGAAAAUGAGAACAGGGCAGAAGGCCUCGAUACGCCAAUCGCUCCAAACAACAAAGGGUUCGAGAUGCUAAAAAAGAUGGGGUUCAACCCUGGAAGUGGCCUCGGUGCGAAAG
This is an RNA transcript of Cimex lectularius (bed bug), 6008 nucleotides long. It is a transcript of the gene named G patch domain-containing protein 11, with no coding region annotated. The record is from RefSeq and is a predicted model, not a curated record. The transcript has 2 exons. Lineage: Eukaryota; Metazoa; Arthropoda; Insecta; Hemiptera; Cimicidae.